GUGUCAGCAGCCGCGGUAAGACGUAGGGGGCCAGCGUUGCUCGGAAUUACUGGGCGUAAAGGGUCCGUAGGCGGUGCGGCAAGUCGGGAGUGAAAUCUCUGGGCUUAACCCAGAGUCUGCUUCCGAAACUGCCGCGCUGGAGUGCGGGAGAGGCGAGUGGAAUUGCAGGUGUAGCGGUGAAAUGCGUAGAUAUCUGCAGGAACACCAGAGGCGAAAGCGGCUCGCUGGACCGCAACUGACGCUGAGGGACGAAAGCUAGGGGAGCAAACAGGAUUAGAAACCCCCGUAGUCC
This 292-nucleotide ribosomal RNA is filed under the name uncultured bacterium. RNAcentral describes it as "partial 16S ribosomal RNA". It matches the Rfam family "Bacterial small subunit ribosomal RNA", at positions 505 to 796 of the family's 1533-position model. The record is from RNAcentral.